This 588-nucleotide ribosomal RNA is filed under the name Triticum aestivum (bread wheat). RNAcentral's name for it is "partial small subunit ribosomal RNA". The record is from RNAcentral. Lineage: Eukaryota; Viridiplantae; Streptophyta; Magnoliopsida; Poales; Poaceae.
AUGACGUAUGAGGCGUACGAUAUCAACGGCUACACAUUCUACACCAAGGACAAGGACAUGAAGAGUGAUGGUUAUCAGAACUCCGGGGUAACGAUGGAAUCCUACACCGGUAACAACAAGGACAGAUACUACGGAAGGAUCGAGGAGAUCUGGGAGCUGAGCUACGCUGGAGAGAAGGUACCGAUGUUCCGUGUCAGAUGGGCCAAGAGCGUCAUAAAAGAAGACCGGUAUUUCACCACCAUGGUUAUACCCGAAGCCAAAUCCAAGACCGCAAGCGCGAACGUCACCGCGAAAAAUGAGCCAUGGGUACUGGCUUCCCAAGUGGACCAAUGCUUCUUCAUUACCGACCCGUCAAAGCCCAAUCGUGUUGUCGUGAGGAGAGGCAAAAGGAAGAUCAUCAGAAUGGAUGGAGUCGCCAAUGAGCAAGACUUCGACAAGUACGGCGACCCGAAGAUGGAACAUGACGACGACGAUGAAGUAUCAGCAUACACCACAAGAAGAAGCAGGACCACCCUACCUAAAGGACGUCCGUUCAAGAGAAGAACUCCAUUUACGAAAAAUAAGGGCAAGAAGAUUGUGAACAGAUAG